This 442-nucleotide ribosomal RNA is filed under the name Shouchella clausii. RNAcentral describes it as "bacterial LSU rRNA". It matches the Rfam family "Bacterial large subunit ribosomal RNA", at positions 1438 to 1874 of the family's 2925-position model. The record is from RNAcentral. Lineage: Bacteria; Bacillati; Bacillota; Bacilli; Caryophanales; Bacillaceae.
CCUGUACCACCUCGUAUUCGUUUGAACGAGGGGGGGACGCAGAAAGGUAGGGUGAGCGCGCCGCUGGCUGUGCGCGUCGAAGCAUGCGAGGCUGGAACAUAGGCAAAUCCGUGUUCCGUAAGGCUGAGCUGUGACCGUGAAGGACCUUCGGGUCCGAAAUCCCUGAUCCUCCGCUGCCGAGAAAAGCCUCUAGUGAGAAUACAGGUGCCCGUACCGCAAACCGACACAGGUAGGCGAGAAGAGAAUUCUAAGACGCUCGGGAGAACUCUCGUUAAGGAACUCGGCAAAAUGACCCCGUAACUUCGGGAGAAGGGGUGCUCUAGUAGGGUUAACCGCCCGAGAGAGCCGCAGUGAAAGGAUCCAAGCGACUGUUUAGCAAAACACAGGUCUCUGCGAAGCCGUAAGGCGAAGUAUAGGGGCUGACACCUGCCCGGUGCUGGAA